UCUAAUCCAAGAUAUAUUGAGAUGUUUGUUUGGUGAUGCAUUUUCAUAUAUAGUGCGUAUGAAUGAACUGUUUUCAGUGUUUCUACUCACUGGGCUUUAGAAGCUCAUCCCUUUCCCUUAAUCCCAGUUUUGCAGGUUCAGAGUAGCUGGGAAGGGCAGAAACAUCAGAGGUGCUAAAGGAUUGCAUGUGUAAUAGUAUAGUGUGGACAUGAUGUAAAUUAAGUUAUAUGUUACAGAUGUAAAGUGAUGUACUAGAUAGAAUGUGCUUUUGCCUAUAGUGUAUGUUAAUCCCUUGAGUAUAUGCAUGUAUCCUGUUUUAUAGUUUCUUCUUGAUGAGAAAUGAGUCAGACCAGACUUAUUAUAUGUGGUGUUUCGAAAACCCAGUGAAUGAUAACUGUGAGGGAAGAUAGGGAUUCAUUCCUUUGACCCAAGACCAGUGCAAUAGGAAAGACCAGGUUUGAUUCCUGUGAUCCAUAGAGAGAGGCCAUUAGAGAAGACCAGGUUUGAUUCCUGUGACUCUAUGGUAGCCAAGUUAACUUAUGAUAUGCUGACCCUUACAGAGUGGGUUCUAUGCUGCAGAGCGC
Molecule: long non-coding RNA, 584 nt
Filed under: Manihot esculenta (cassava)
Lineage: Eukaryota; Viridiplantae; Streptophyta; Magnoliopsida; Malpighiales; Euphorbiaceae
Description: long non-coding RNA (MESC_LNC010586)
Source: RNAcentral